UACGGGAGGCAGCAGUGGGGAAUAUUGCACAAUGAGCGAAAGCUUGAAUGCAGCCAUACCGCGUGUGUGAAGAAGGCCCGAGGGUUGUAAAGCACUUUCAAUUGGGAGGAAGAUUAAGUAGUUAAUACCUGCUUAAUUUGACGUUACCUUUAGAAGAAGCACCGGCUAACUCUGUGCCAGCAGCCGCGGUAAUACAGAGGGUGCAAGCGUUAUUCGGAAUUACUGGGCGUAAAGCGCGCGUAGGCGGAUUAGUAAGUCAGUUGUGAAAGCCCUGGGCUCAACCUAGGAACUGCAUCUGAUACUGCUGAUCUAGAGUUUAGUAGAGGGAAGGGGAAUUCCAGGUGUAGCAGUGAAAUGCGUAGAUAUCUGGAGGAACAUCAGUGGCGAAGGCGCCUUCCUGGACUAAAACUGACCGUGAGGUGGGAAAGCGUGGGUAGCGAACGGAGGAUUAGAUACCCCGGUAGUCCCCCCCUUAAACGAUGUCAACUUGUGGUUGGUGUUAUUAAAAAGAUUCAGU
RNAcentral lists this ribosomal RNA (517 nucleotides) under gamma proteobacterium enrichment culture clone DGGE-9E. RNAcentral's name for it is "bacterial SSU rRNA". It matches the Rfam family "Bacterial small subunit ribosomal RNA", at positions 340 to 844 of the family's 1533-position model. The record is from RNAcentral. Lineage: Bacteria; Pseudomonadati; Pseudomonadota; Gammaproteobacteria.